ACAUUGGUGAUUCAGCGGUAGAAUUCUCGCCUUCCAUGCAGGAGACCUGAGAUCGAUUCUCAGCCAAGGCA
RNAcentral lists this transfer RNA (71 nucleotides) under Loxodonta africana (African savanna elephant). It matches the Rfam family "tRNA". Rfam says of the family: Transfer RNA (tRNA) molecules are approximately 80 nucleotides in length. Their secondary structure includes four short double-helical elements and three loops (D, anti-codon, and T loops). Lineage: Eukaryota; Metazoa; Chordata; Mammalia; Proboscidea; Elephantidae. The record is from Rfam by way of RNAcentral.